CUAUGGGAUCAGUAGCUGUCGCCACACUACUGUUCACCACUACUACAGUCCGACUCAUUGUUUCCCCCGUGUUUUGUCUGCAGCGUCAAGUACAACAGUUUCACGGCCCUGGGAGCUCAGAGUCUGGCUUCCAGUCUGAGGGACUGUCCAUGGAUCAAGAGUCUGGGGAUGUGGAAUGUGUGUAUUCCCUACGGAGUGUUAGAGAGACUGCAACAACAGGACCCACGGAUACAACUGCUCUAGAACAUUGUUCUAAUGUUGUUCUAACAGAACCCCAGAGGAUACAGCUGCUCUAGA
This 297-nucleotide long non-coding RNA is filed under the name Oncorhynchus kisutch (coho salmon). RNAcentral's name for it is "lncRNA (ENSOKIG00005033545.1)". Lineage: Eukaryota; Metazoa; Chordata; Actinopteri; Salmoniformes; Salmonidae. The record is from RNAcentral.